RNAcentral lists this ribosomal RNA (444 nucleotides) under uncultured bacterium. RNAcentral's name for it is "SSU rRNA". It matches the Rfam family "Bacterial small subunit ribosomal RNA", at positions 26 to 518 of the family's 1533-position model. The record is from RNAcentral.
AGAACGAACGCUGGCGGCAGGCUUAACACAUGCAAGUCGAGCGCCCCGCAAGGGGAGCGGCAGACGGGUGAGUAACGCGUGGGAACAUACCCUCCGGUUCGGAAUAGCUCAGGGAAACUUGGAUUAAUACCGGAUACGGCCUAGCGGCGAAAGAUUCAUCGCCGGGGGAUUGGCCCGCGUCUGAUUAGCUAGUUGGUGGGGUAAUGGCCCACCAAGGCGACGAUCAGUAGCUGGUCUGAGAGGAUGAUCAGCCACAUUGGGACUGAGACACGGCCCAAACUCCUACGGGAGGCAGCAGUGGGGAAUAUUGGACAAUGGGCGCAAGCCUGAUCCAGCCAUGCCGCGUGAGUGAUGACGGCCUUAGGGUUGUAAAGCUCUUUCGCUAGGGACGAUAAUGACGGUACCUAGACAAGAAGCCCCGGCUAACUUCGUGCCAGCAGCCGC